This 335-nucleotide ribosomal RNA is filed under the name Maoricolpus roseus. RNAcentral describes it as "SSU rRNA". It matches the Rfam family "Eukaryotic small subunit ribosomal RNA", at positions 45 to 374 of the family's 1831-position model. Lineage: Eukaryota; Metazoa; Mollusca; Gastropoda; Turritellidae. The record is from RNAcentral.
UAAGCCAUGCAUGUCUAAGUUCACACCCUUGUACGGGUGAAACCGCGAAUGGCUCAUUAAAUCAGUCGAGGUUCCUUAGAUGAUCCAUUUCUACUUGGAUAACUGUGGUAAUUCUAGAGCUAAUACAUGCCGCCCAGCUUCAACCCUUCGGGGAAAGAGCGCUUUUAUUAGUUCAAAACCAGUCGGGGUUCGCCCCGUCCUUUGGUGACUCUGGAUAACUUUGUGCCGAUCGCAUGGCCUUGAGCCGGCGACGCAUCUUUCAAAUGUCUGCCCUAUCAAAUGACAAUGGUCGGUGAUCUGCCUACCAUGUUUGCUACGGGUAGCGGGGAAUCAGG